This 1027-nucleotide long non-coding RNA is filed under the name Mytilus galloprovincialis (Mediterranean mussel). The record is from RNAcentral. Lineage: Eukaryota; Metazoa; Mollusca; Bivalvia; Mytilida; Mytilidae.
UGUCCUCUGAUCUUAAAACAUGAAAUCGAACCGUACUUGUUAUUUAAAAACAAUGAAAUAUCGUUCAUAUAUCAUAUGAUAAUACGAACUGCUUUCAAUUUCGAUGGCCAAGGAGGGUGAUUGGCCUAAUGAGUUCAUAUAAAGUGAUAAAAAGCCUGCGGCGAUUUUAAGAUACGCUCGUGGCGAGAUUUGUUCGACUCCGAUCCUAAUCGACAGUUAUUGCAAAUAUUUAAACUUAAGGUUCGCCUUGAUGUCCGGCUUCUCCUACCUAUGAUGACAGGUCAAUAAAAUACAACAAAUGUCGCUUAUACAUGUAGUGGUGUUUAACACCAAAACAAAGAACAAACUUUUAGAAAUAAUUUGAAAACACAUAUAUGUAUAGCGUCCCGAAUCGAAAACGUUCAAAACGUAAGAAAAUUGUUCAGUGGACAAACUUGCAAGACAUUUGAUUUGUUAAAAAACGAAGUCAUUUCGACUUCACAGCUUAUCAAAAAGUAUGUUAUCGUAUUGUGGGGUGAAAGCACAAUUACGCAAAAGCACUAUUUUGUAUGCUACAAAUUUAAUAUUUAAUAUAAUGACGUUGAAACUGACAGUGUUUUGGUAAAAAGCGGCGAAAUUCGACAUUGGACAAUCUUGCAAGACAUUUUCCCGAAGCCAAUGCGUUUUUAUUUGUGGUGCGAGUGCUGUAAAAUUCCGGAUUUGAAAUGGUCUAUCUAAGCACUUUUGUAGGAAUAAUUUAUGAAAACAAAAUUUUAUAUCUUCUGAUAUUUUUAAAAGCGGUAACUUUUGGAUAUAACUUACCAUUUUCCGAAACCUGACCAUGGCGAGGAUUAUUCAUUUUUGAAAAAAUCAGCUUUGACCGUUCCAUCAACACAAAAAACAGCAAUGAUGUCAUAAAUUAUAUAUGACGUUUAUCAUUCAUGCGAAUUUUCGCGGAUUUUAAACUCUUUUUUAGACCACAAAAAUUCCCGCAAAAGUUAUUUUGCGAAUAAUUUGUUACGUCUGACCCGCAUAUUUUUGACGUUUU